GGCAGGGUAGCUCAGUUGGUUAGAGCACGGCAUUCAUAACGCCGAGGUCAUGGGUCCGAUCCCCAUCCCUGCUACUA
This 77-nucleotide transfer RNA is filed under the name Candidatus Collierbacteria bacterium RIFOXYA2_FULL_46_10. RNAcentral's name for it is "tRNA-Met". It matches the Rfam family "tRNA". Rfam says of the family: Transfer RNA (tRNA) molecules are approximately 80 nucleotides in length. The record is from RNAcentral. Lineage: Bacteria; Candidatus Collieribacteriota. RNAcentral also lists the same sequence under 2 other names.